CAAAAUCAAACCCUUGAAGCCUCCUCCGUAUUUGCAAUUAGAUAAUCAACAGUUUCAUUACAAAUUCUCAUCUCCAGAUUCCUCUCCAAGAUCACCUAUUGCUCAUGGCAAGGACAUCCUCCGCAAAGCUUUUUCGCCAAGAAAGAAACCUACAGAUGUAGAUCCUUUUGAGGCCGCCAUAGAUAACAUUCGCAAAGGCGUUGGAGAGGAAAGAGGGAGAGAGAGGCUUCAGAACCCGGGCCGUAGAGCCACUCGGUCGCUUUCUCCUUUUCGGGUUUCAGCUUAUCCAUGGGAAGAACAAGAACAGAGAGAGGUACAACAAGGUCAUGAACAGAGAAAGGGCUCUUUCUCUUCUAUACCGUCUACAUCUUCAUCAACUUGCGUGUCUUGCAAGUUAUCUUCCUCAAAGAAAUGGAGGCUAAAGGACUUGCUUCUUUUCCGUAGCGCGUCAGAGGGAAGAGCAAGGCACAACAACAAAGAUUUCGUGAAGUCGUUAUCGGGUUUGUUCAGGAAACAAGAAGACAGCAAGAGCUCGAGCUCGAGCUCUAGAGGAAGAGGAUCACCGUCUGUCUCCUCCGCCCAUGAAUUCCAUUACAUGGCUAAAAAGGCUGAAGCAAAAGGUUUGAAGAAAAAGACUUUCUUGCCUUAUAUGCAAAUAGGAAGAUUCGCCUUCUAAAUUCUUUGAAGCGCAAACCCAAAAUGAUUAUAUUGUUUGCUUAAUUACAUGAUCUAAAGAACUGACUCAUUUCUACUCUCUUGCCUGGUUGAUGUGUUUCGGAAGCAAGUAUAAUGAACCAUAAUCAUUUGAGAUUAUUAUUUCUUGUGCAUAGUAUAGUAUAUUUGUCUAUUUGCAUUAGAGUGACUCACAUUGCAUAACAUCCCAAAAUCUAAGCCCAUACAAAAUUAAUUUUGUUAAAAGAGAAGUCUGAAAGGCCCAUUUAUAAAUACUAAUCAACUCUCUCUCUCUGUGUCUUCUAGAGAUGGUUUUCUUUGUUUUCAAAAAAGUCAGAGAAGACUUUUCUGUAAAUUUUCUAGGAUAAACAUGUUUGUUUUGCAUUUAAAAAAUAAAACUUAAAUAUAAUUUUAUCCGGAUGACUUCCAUGUAAUUUUUCCGGUAGACGACUUUGUGUUUGGCUCCGAGGGGUUAUGUUUACCUCGUCAGUUAAUAGCUCAGCAAAGGCUUUGUGUAUCUGACAGUUAAUUGAAUAAUAAUCUAACAGAUGAAAAAAGAAAAAAAAAUUCAACUCUAAAACAACUGUUAUUUUAUAAAUUUACCAAAGUGCUCGCUAGCGUCAUGAAUCAGUUUUGGACUGGUGAAGAUGCGUUACUCCUCUAUGUUUCCGAUAGUAGGUUCGGCGGAAACAUAUACUUUUUCCCUUUUGGACUCUCUACUGGAGAGACUGAGCAUAGGAGUUGCAUCUUCCCAAAUCGACUCCAACGUAAAGGAUUCACCAAUUUCUAAGCCAUUUCCUCUAGCAAAAUCUUUCCAGCCCUUUCCCAAACUCAUUCUUCCUUGGCUUUCUCGUAGAAGAUUUGUCAUCCACUUUGUACCAUCUUUUCCCAGCAAUGCUAUCGUUCCAGGUUCGUUCAUGCCGUUUUCCCUCAUGAAUGGCAAUGGAAGACCCUGGAAAAAAGAUUUAAACCAAUGAGAAUGCAAGUAACAGAACUAACUAAGAGUUGAUUGAUGAACUCACCAGUCUACUGUUUUUGAAGCUGUCUUGUGUAAGAGUUAAAGUCACAAAUCGGUUCUGGCUUCUGAAUUCCGUACUGAGCAAACUGAGCACAGGAGUUGCAUUUUCCCAGAUCAACUCCAAUGUGAAGGACUCGCCCAUGUUUAAUCCGUUUGCUCUAGCAAAAUCUUUCAAGCCCUUUCCUAAACUCAUUCUUCCUGAGUUUUCCCGUAGAAGAUUUGCCAGCAUCCUUGUACCAUCUUUCCCCAACAAAGUUACCAUACCCGGUUUGUCCAUGCCGUUUUCUUUCAAGAAUGGCAAUGGGAGAUACUAGACAAAUAAAUGAAGCGAGAAUUUAAAAAAAAAAAAAAGAUCAAACCAACAAGAUUUGUUUGUAUGAUGAACUCUCACCAGUCUGCUACUUUUGAGGCUAUCAUUUGUAAGUGUUAAAGUCACAAAUCGGUUAGGGUUUGGUAAGGUUGAAUCUCUACAUAUCUGAGGAAUGUUCUCGUCGACUCCUUGUGUUCCAUCACUGAUAGAUUCUGUUGGGCAGACACUGAGCAAAGGUGUUUCCCCGUUUCUUAUUAGUUUGAACUUAAAUAAGCUUCCUUCUUUCCGGCCGUUUUCUUCACAGAAAUUUCUCCAGCCUCGGGUUAUACAGAAUGUAUCAGACGAUUUGUUGAACCUCAGAUCCAACGCCCAUGAUCUUUCCCUUUCAUCUGUUAAAACAAUCUUGCGGCAUUUUCUUUUAAAACCAUUUGAGAUUGUGAAAUCUGGUGGAAGACACUGCAGAAUAAAUAGGUUCACGCAUUUCAUCAAGUUGUGCAAAACUUUGUUUAGUCUCAUUACUAAAAUAAUUUGACAAAAAUACAUAAUAAACCAAACCCAUGUUGUUGAGGUUAAUUUAUGAUUUUUUUUUGAAUAACAAUGAAAUGCACAAUUCUAGAAACAGCAGUUCAUCUGACAGGUAUGCAAAAACAAUUGAAGAAGUGUAUACACGCACCAGAGAAUCUUCUUCCAGAUUGGAAGCGGUAACAGGGGCCACAAAACAAGAGUUGUCGGACGAAGAAGAAUCAGCUUCUGCUUGGGAAUUGUUCUUCUUCACUUUCUUAUUUCCUGUUAAAACCUCGGAUUUUUUUUUUUAAUUUUGUAAACAUCCGACCAAGUAAUAAGCUCUGACAUAUGUAUAAAUAUUUGUGUCAUUACAAGAAAAAGAUUAGAAGAGAAGUGAAGUUACCGGUGUUGUCCUGACCAUCAUCAACUUCUUCUGUUGUUAUAGGAUGCUUCUUCCUCGAGAUGUAACCUGUUUAGAACAAGUAAACAAUCUCAGUUUUCCCUUCAAACUGGACUACAUUUAAAAAAAUAAUAAUAAUAAUAAAAUAAGUAAACAGAGGCAAACUUACCCAUGUUUGCCUGAUCCUCGUUGUUGGUGUGUGUGUCACAGGAAGUGGAUCCUGAACCAGAGAGCAUCUCUGUGUGGGGCUAAUACCUUCUUCUCCAGGCUUGUUCCUUGUUGAUGCUUCGAGAACAGGAAUCGGCUACAAGUAAAAAAAAAAAUGUAAGCUGUGAAAAAUUCUCAGAAGAGAAAAAGGUUAUCAGUUUUACCUCUUAGAGAGCGAAUGUUCGUAUGCAUUUCUGGAAAAUUCGAAAUCUCAGCGUUAAUUUGGGUGUUGCAACUUUUUGGUUCAAUAUCUCUCGGCUAACGUUCCAAUUUAAAAUCUCUCGAUUUGGGGAUUUGGAGAAGAAGAUUUGAUUGAGAAAUUGCUAACCUUUGAACACAGAUCGAUAAUAAGAGAAGAGAAGCUUCCUUCCGUUGAUAUUGAAGAAGGAAUGACACGUCGAGCUUUAUCUAUGCUCUUCACCAAGUGGGCCUAAUUUGGUUGGGCUUUAAACUCAUUCAGAUCUCAAAUUUCUUUUCAAACCCUUUGACAUUGCAAGUAACAGCAGUUAUUAAACUGACUUUUCAGUGGAGGAGACAAUCUAAAGAGCACAAUAAUCAUUUCUGUUCACGUUCAUUCAUCCCACUCUUUUUUUUUUUUUUUACUCAGCCUAAUAAAAUUUAUAUUAAGAAGAAAAAAAAAACUUUUUAGUUCCUUGGCAUUGUUUCAUUUUUCUACUACAAUAAAUCUUCUAUUGUUUACACAACUUGGCUCUCUAAAUCUAUUCUCCGAACUUAUGAAAUGACUCCAACUCGAAGUACCUAAAGAUAACAAGAAGAUUUUCACCAUGCACACGUAUAUGUAACAACAAACCAUUCAUCUCUUAACUACCCCGCCCACCAGUGUCUUUAACCAGUUGACCGAAACUCUGUAUCUUAUACUUUCAAAAACAAAACUCGGCGUGUUAAUGUUCACGACCACAAACCGAACUCUGCACACAUGAAACCAGUAGGCCAGUUUCAACAACGAUGCUAAUGCAGUGCCUCUUAUUUGAAUACAAAGACCCAUACAUUUGAAAACAUAAGCAAACAGUUUUCAUCAUUUUUUUCACCCGCCAAAGUGACCCACAGUACUUAUUUCUCAAACCAAAUAACAAUUAGCAAACUAAUCAGAGAAAGAAACCUACAGAUGUAGAUCCUUUUGAGGCCGCCAUAGAUAACAUUCGCAAAGGCGUUGGAGAGGAAAGAGGGAGAGAGAGGCUUCAGAACCCGGGCCGUAGAGCCACUCGGUCGCUUUCUCCUUUUCGGGUUUCAGCUUAUCCAUGGGAAGAA
RNAcentral lists this long non-coding RNA (4380 nucleotides) under Brassica napus (rape). Its description in RNAcentral is "long non-coding RNA (BNAP_LNC002361)". The record is from RNAcentral. Lineage: Eukaryota; Viridiplantae; Streptophyta; Magnoliopsida; Brassicales; Brassicaceae.